This 357-nucleotide ribosomal RNA is filed under the name uncultured bacterium. RNAcentral's name for it is "bacterial SSU rRNA". It matches the Rfam family "Bacterial small subunit ribosomal RNA", at positions 1 to 334 of the family's 1533-position model. The record is from RNAcentral.
UACGACGUAUCAGAGUUUGAUCCUGGCUCGAGGACGAACGCUGGCGGCGUGCCUAACACAUGCAAGUCGAACGAGAAGUCUUUUAAUGAUUCCUUCGGGGAGAUUUAAAAGAUGGACAGUGGCGGACGGGCGAGUAACGCGUGAGUAACCUGCCCAUAAGUGAGGGAUAGCCCAUGGAAACGUGGAGUAAUACCUCAUAUUGUAUACUGGUCACAUGAUCUAUAUAUGAAAGAUUUAUCGCUUAUGGAUGGACUCGCGUCUGAUUAGAUAGUUGGUGAGGUAACGGCUCACCAAGUCGGCGAUCAGUAGCCGAACCGAGAGGUUGAUCGGCCGCAUUGGGACUGAGACACGGCCCAG